This 74-nucleotide transfer RNA is filed under the name Ackermannviridae sp. RNAcentral's name for it is "tRNA-Met". It matches the Rfam family "tRNA". Rfam says of the family: Transfer RNA (tRNA) molecules are approximately 80 nucleotides in length. The record is from RNAcentral. Lineage: Duplodnaviria; Heunggongvirae; Uroviricota; Caudoviricetes; Pantevenvirales; Ackermannviridae.
GGCGUAAUAGCUCAGUUGAUUAGAGCGCAUCAUUCAUGCUGAUGAGGUCGUUGGUUUGAGUCCAUCUUACGCCA